AAAAUAAAUUAAAUUUAAUUAAAAUAAAUAUCUAAAUUUUAAGUAUAUCAUUUACAAUGAUAAGAUGUUUUUUAACUUUAUUUAAAUU
Molecule: transfer RNA, 88 nt
Filed under: Pseudoregma alexanderi
Lineage: Eukaryota; Metazoa; Arthropoda; Insecta; Hemiptera; Hormaphididae
Description: tRNA-Val
Source: RNAcentral